This 73-nucleotide transfer RNA is filed under the name Neotoma lepida (desert woodrat). It matches the Rfam family "tRNA". From Rfam's summary of the family: Transfer RNA (tRNA) molecules are approximately 80 nucleotides in length. Their secondary structure includes four short double-helical elements and three loops (D, anti-codon, and T loops). Further hydrogen bonds mediate the characteristic L-shaped molecular structure. tRNAs have two regions of fundamental functional importance: the anti-codon, which is responsible for specific mRNA codon recognition, and the 3' end, to which the tRNAs corresponding amino acid is attached (by aminoacyl-tRNA synthetases). tRNAs cope with the degeneracy of the genetic code in two manners: having more than one tRNA (with a specific anti-codon) for a particular amino acid; and 'wobble' base-pairing, i.e. permitting non-standard base-pairing at the 3rd anti-codon position. Lineage: Eukaryota; Metazoa; Chordata; Mammalia; Rodentia; Cricetidae. The record is from Rfam by way of RNAcentral.
AGGGGUGUGGCUCAGUUGGUAGAGUGCUUGCCUGGCAUGCAUGAGGCUCUGAGUUUGAUCCCUGGCACCAGUA